Molecule: ribosomal RNA, 846 nt
Filed under: Salmonella enterica subsp. enterica serovar Telaviv
Lineage: Bacteria; Pseudomonadati; Pseudomonadota; Gammaproteobacteria; Enterobacterales; Enterobacteriaceae
Description: partial 23S ribosomal RNA
Rfam family: Bacterial large subunit ribosomal RNA
Source: RNAcentral
GCGAAUACCGGAGAAUGUUAUCACGGGAGACACACGGCGGGUGCUAACGUCCGUCGUGAAGAGGGAAACAACCCAGACCGCCAGCUAAGGUCCCAAAGUCAUGGUUAAGUGGGAAACGAUGUGGGAAGGCCCAGACAGCCAGGAUGUUGGCUUAGAAGCAGCCAUCAUUUAAAGAAAGCGUAAUAGCUCACUGGUCGAGUCGGCCUGCGCGGAAGAUGUAACGGGGCUAAACCAUGCACCGAAGCUGCGGCAGCGACGCUUAUGCGUUGUUGGGUAGGGGAGCGUUCUGUAAGCCUGUGAAGGUGGCCUGUGAGGGUUGCUGGAGGUAUCAGAAGUGCGAAUGCUGACAUAAGUAACGAUAAAGCGGGUGAAAAGCCCGCUCGCCGGAAGACCAAGGGUUCCUGUCCAACGUUAAUCGGGGCAGGGUGAGUCGACCCCUAAGGCGAGGCCGAAAGGCGUAGUCGAUGGGAAACGGGUUAAUAUUCCCGUACUUGGUGUUACUGCGAAGGGGGGACGGAGAAGGCUAUGUUGGCCGGGCGACGGUUGUCCCGGUUUAAGCGUGUAGGUGUGUGUUCCAGGUAAAUCCGGUUCACUUUAACACUGAGGCGUGACGACGAGGCACUACGGUGCUGAAGCAACAAAUGCCCUGCUUCCAGGAAAAGCCUCUAAGCAUCAGGUAACAUCAAAUCGUACCCCAAACCGACACAGGUGGUCAGGUAGAGAAUACCAAGGCGCUUGAGAGAACUCGGGUGAAGGAACUAGGCAAAAUGGUGCCGUAACUUCGGGAGAAGGCACGCUGACACGUAGGUGAAGUGAUUUACUCACGGAGCUGAAGUCAGUCGAAGA